CCUACGGGAGGCUGCAGUGAGGAAUAUUGGUCAAUGGGCGUAAGCCUGAACCAGCCAAGUCGCGUGAGGGAUGAAGGUUCUAUGGAUCGUAAACCGCUUUUGUAAGGGGAUAAAGUGCGGGACGUGUCCCGGUUUGUAUGUACCUUAUGAAUAAGGAUCGGCUAACUCCGUGCCAGCAGCCGCGGUAAUACGGAGGAUCCGAGCGUUAUCCGGAUUUAUUGGGUUUAAAGGGUGCGUAGGCGGCCUUUUAAGUCAGCGGUGAAAGUCUGUGGCUCAACCAUGGAACUGCCGUUGAAACUGGGAGGCUUGAGAAUGUUUGCGGUAGGCGGAAUGCGUGGUGUAGCGGUGAAAUGCUUAGAGAUCACGCAGAACCCCGAUUGCGAAGGCAGCUUACCAAACUAUAUCUGACGUUGAGGCACGAAAGCGUGGGUAGCAAACAGGAUUAGAUACCCCUGUAGUC
This 460-nucleotide ribosomal RNA is filed under the name uncultured bacterium. Its description in RNAcentral is "partial 16S ribosomal RNA". It matches the Rfam family "Bacterial small subunit ribosomal RNA", at positions 338 to 795 of the family's 1533-position model. The record is from RNAcentral.